CGCUGGCGGCAGUCCUACCAUGGGAGAGAACGGCGCACGGGUGCUUGCACCUGGUGGCGAGUGGUUUUACCGGUGAUAAUACAUCGGAACGUACCUUAUCGUGGGGGAUAACGCAGCGAAAGCUGUGCUAAUACCGCAUACGCCCUGAGGGGGAAAGCGGGGGAUCGCAAGACUCGCGCGAUUAGAGCGGCCGAUGCCUGAUUAGCUUGUUGGUGGGGUAAAAGCCCACCAAGGCGACGAUCAGUAGCUGGUCUGAGAGGACGAUCAGCCACACUGGGACUGAGACACGGCCCAGACUCCUACGGGAGGCAGCAGUGGG
RNAcentral lists this ribosomal RNA (319 nucleotides) under uncultured bacterium. RNAcentral describes it as "bacterial SSU rRNA". It matches the Rfam family "Bacterial small subunit ribosomal RNA", at positions 34 to 358 of the family's 1533-position model. The record is from RNAcentral.